GUGAAUCAUCGAAUUUUUGAACGCAAAUUGCGCUUCCUGGUAUGCCGGGAAGUAUGCCUGUUUGAGGGUCAGUAUUAACAAAAUAUCGGUUUGGUUGCGAAUUGUGACGUUUCCGGAGUUUGGGCUAUAUUCACUUUUUUGGUUAAGGGGCUUAAAAUUGAUCUUUUUUGCGUAUUUUUAGACGUACAUAAUUUUUUUUUUUAUUUGUCUUAUCUUUUUGUCAUAAUCUUAAUAGAUGUGUUGACAUC
Molecule: unclassified non-coding RNA, 248 nt
Filed under: Glomeraceae sp.
Lineage: Eukaryota; Fungi; Glomeromycota; Glomeromycetes; Glomerales; Glomeraceae
Description: partial contains 5.8S ribosomal RNA and internal transcribed spacer 2
Rfam family: 5.8S ribosomal RNA (bases 1-71)
Source: RNAcentral